AUGAUUGGGCGUAAAGAGUCUGUAGGCGGUUUAGAAAGUCUUUUGUGAAAUACUUCAGCUCAACUGAGGCUCCGCAAAAGAAACUUCUAGACUUGAGGAAAGUAGAGGUACAGGGAAUUUCCGGUGGAGCGGUGAAAUGCGUAGAUAUCGGAAGGAACACCAAUAUGGCGAAGGCACUGUACUGGGCUUUUCCUGACGCUCAGAGACGAAAGCUGAAGGAGUGAUUAGGAUUAGAUACCCUAGUAAUUUCAGCCGUAAACGAUGAAAACUCACUGUCGAGCCAAUAUAUGGAGCGGUGGUCAAGCUAACGCGUGAAGUUUUCCGCCUGGGGAUUACGCUUGUAAAAGUGAAACUCAAAGGAAUUGACGGGGACCCGCACAAGCGGUGGAGUAUGUGGUUUGAUUCGAUGCAACGCGAAAAACCUUACCAGGGUUUGAAAUAAUUUCAAAACUUCUUGAAAGAGAAGCCUCCUUCGGGAUGGAAUUACAGGUGGUGCAUGGCUGUCGUCAGCUCGUGUUGUGAAAUGUCAAGUUAAGUCUUGUAACGAGCGCAACCCAUGUCUCUUGUUGCUGUUUACAGUGCUUAAGAGAAACUGCCGAUCAACAUCGGAGGAAGGUGUGGAUGAUGUCAAGUCAGCAUGCCCCUUACAUCCUGGGCUACACACGUACUACAAUGGUCGAGACAAAGGGUCGCUAACCUGCGAAGGUAUGCCAAUCUCAUAAACUCGAUCUCAGUUCGGAUUGUACGCUGCAA
This 753-nucleotide ribosomal RNA is filed under the name uncultured prasinophyte. Its description in RNAcentral is "bacterial SSU rRNA". It matches the Rfam family "Bacterial small subunit ribosomal RNA", at positions 550 to 1310 of the family's 1533-position model. The record is from RNAcentral. Lineage: Eukaryota; Viridiplantae; Chlorophyta.